GUGUUUGCUUUGGCAACACAUCUAAUAAAAUUGGAAUGAUGCAGAAGAAGUUUAGCAUGGCCUCUGCACAAGAAUGACAUGCAAAUUCAUGAAGUGUUCCAUACCCCG
Molecule: small nuclear RNA, 108 nt
Organism: Ailuropoda melanoleuca (giant panda)
Lineage: Eukaryota; Metazoa; Chordata; Mammalia; Carnivora; Ursidae
Source: Ensembl